Molecule: small nuclear RNA, 78 nt
Filed under: Homo sapiens (human)
Lineage: Eukaryota; Metazoa; Chordata; Mammalia; Primates; Hominidae
Description: partial ncRNA
Source: RNAcentral
AGAGAAUCACUUGAGCCCGGGAGGUGGAUAUUGCAGUGAGCCAAGAUCACGCCACUGCACUCCAGCCUGGCAACAGAG